RNAcentral lists this ribosomal RNA (424 nucleotides) under uncultured bacterium. RNAcentral's name for it is "partial 16S ribosomal RNA". It matches the Rfam family "Bacterial small subunit ribosomal RNA", at positions 360 to 776 of the family's 1533-position model. The record is from RNAcentral.
AAUUUUCGACAAUGGGCGCAAGCCUGCUCGAGCCAUGCCGCGUCUGUGAAGAAGGCCUUCGGGUUGUAAAGCUCUUUCGGACGGAAGGAAAACGCGCAGGCCAACACCCCGCCCAGCUGACGGUACCUCCCUAAGAAGCACCCGCUAAUCACGUGCCAGGAGCCGCGGUAAUACGUAGGGUGCGAGCGUUAAUCGGAAUUACUGGGCGUAAAGCGAGCGCAGGCGGUUGAUGAAGACAGGCGUGAAAUCCCCGGGCUUAACCUGGGAACUGCGCUUGUGACUGGUCAGCUAGAGUACGGCAGAGGGGGGUGGAAUUCCACGUGUAGCAGUGAAAUGCGUAGAGAUGUGGAGGAACACCGAUGGCGAAGGCAGCCCCCUGGGCCGAUACUGACGCUCAUGCACGAAAGCGUGGGUAGCAAACAGG